Ostrea edulis (European flat oyster) is the source of this 11484-nucleotide long non-coding RNA. RefSeq lists it as uncharacterized. The record is from RefSeq and is a predicted model, not a curated record. NCBI's taxonomy places the organism in Eukaryota, Metazoa, Mollusca, Bivalvia, Ostreida, Ostreidae. The transcript is spliced from 2 exons.
AGGGAAUGCUCUAUCUAUGUAUUAUGCAAUCUCUCUUUUUUCUCUCUCCAUUGUAAUUUGUUUUUUAUCGGUAUCAAGGUAUAGAUCUUGGAUAGAUAAUUUCAACCAAAAGGUAAAGGAUUUUAAAACAAACAAUUUCUAAGUUUAUUAGUAUGGCGGCUGUCCAUUUAUUCAUUUUUAAAAGCUAAUAAGAUCUACAGUCACUUUUAAUAGUUAUUGUUCUAGUAAAUUAAAUUAAAUGUCUACCUCCCACCAACAGAUAACUUUGCCAAACAUGUGUACAUGUAAAUAACGACCAAUAAACACAAGCCUCUAAGCAUCCAUUAGUUAUACAUCUAAUCAUUACCCUUUAGCAGAUCUAGAUCAAGGGAUCAUCAGAGAGACAAAUCUACUCAUAAAAAGUUUCUGUUUACUUUCAAGUAUGUCUCAAAAAUCAUAUGGAGGAUGUCAGUACAUGUUUUUGUAUCUAUUAACUGUGUCAGCUUUGACUAAUCACACACACAUUAAUUGUAUACACAACAGCCAUGCAUGUAAAACACAGCAAAGUCCCCCUUCCCUCAUAACUGGAAAAAGUUCAUUUACACAGCAGGAAUUUUGAACAGCAUCCAGGAUCAAACACUGGAUUUUUCUUGAAAUUCUUCCAAGCUGCCAGUGCACUGAAUAGCUUCAACAGAAUUUUCUCCCUCACUGACAGUGUUUAUGGCUGAUUCUAUAGUUAUUUCCCUUUGCUGGUUAAAUUGGUCCAGUAGUUGUUCGGCGCCCUCUACAGUGUCAGCGAUCUCAGAACUAUGUAACUCCUGCUGCAGGUCCUCCAACCACGAAGUCAACUGAAAGAGGGAACCAGUUUAGUGCUUUCAAACAUACACCCGUAGCGUCAAUUAAAUCUUAUUCGUCAUUGUUUGCAUUCAUCCAACAUAUCAGAGUUGGAUUCAUCAAGGUAAAGUACUGAAGAUUUCAAAGAAUUGUAGUAAUUACUGCAGAAUCAUUAAUUUUUAUGGUACAAAAUUGUUCAUGGCUUGAAAAACAUAAACAUGUUAUCGAGGAUUUUAUCGUUAUUGAAGAUUUGUUAAUUUUACUAUAGCUGAAUUUCUCUUGCUAUUGGAGGAUAUGCCUAUCCCACAAAAUCAAUGAAAACUCCCUAGAAAACUAACAAUCGUACAAUAUUCUUCAUUUUUAUAACCGAUUGACUCAAGUUGGUUUUAUUUGUAAGUUGUUUCACGCCCUAUCUGAGAAUUUUUCAAUCAUGUAGAAACAUCACCAACUUGAGUGAAGUGCCACAAAUUUUGACCUAAGCAUGGUGCUCAGGGCCACAGCAGUGAAGGUUCUUUAUUACCUAUUAUGGCAUGGGACCUCCAUUUUUAAUGUCAUAUCUGCCUGACCUGUGACUUUCACUUCUUGGUGAAGGAACAGUAACUACCUAUGUUAAAUGUCUCAGGUUUAAUACGGCACCGGGAGCUAGAAUCAAGAACUGAGCCUCACAGUUGCUAAGCGAAUGACCUUAUAACCACUAGGCUAGAGAUCAGAAAAUCUGAGCUACAUAUAAUGAUAAAAUCUACUCAUAUUUCCAUCUCAACUUGUAUUGAAUAACACAAACAUAAAAUUCUUACAACAAGGGUACAGUACUUCUUCAUAAUGUAGUGCAAAAGUAGCAUAUUUGCCUUUUAAUCAACAGAACACACCUCAUGAACAUGUGUAUAAAAGUCUACAGCCAUUUGGAUGGUGGCCUUGCGCCGCUCUAGGGCAGUCAGGAAAUUGCCCAUUCUCUGCUGUAAAUCCUGGGCCUCUCGGUAGAUUUCCUUGGGGUCACAUUCUCCAGUGUGGGCAAGUUCAUCUGCUGCUGACAACAGCUUGUCUGCAUUGGUUAUAGUAUUCUAAGAAAGAACAAAAAAAUAUCAUUAAUGUCAGCCAAAGUCAUUUCAUCGUUUCCUGAAUUAAAGUGUUGUCAAAGACCUAGUUUGAAAUUACUUUUCAUAUAAAAUUUAUCAGUCUAAUAGAUAAUGGUACAUUACAGGAUUUUUGUGUGGGGGGGUACCAUUACAGGAUUUUUGUGUGGGGGGGUACCAUUACAGGAUUUUUGUGUGUGGAGUCCCUUGUGCACAGAUUUACAUUUUCAGUUAUAAGGCUACAUGGCUAUAUAGGCAACUCUGCAGAUUUGUAUGUGUUUAUUUAUAUCUAUUUCAACUUCAUGGUACCAUAUAUGUUACAUAUUGAAUGACAUAAUUUUUUCAGUUGUAUUGGGAUAUAACAUGCAACUAGUCAUGAAGAUUAAAUUCUAAGUUUACUUUUAAUCUUAAAGGUAGAUAUGCUCUAAUAUUUAUUAGUGUUUAAUCUAAAGCAAACUAGCAUGGCGUUGCGCCAUGCCCUUUUUGGCUGGCGCCAUGCCCUUUUUAAUUGCAACAUGCCCUUUUUUCUCUAUAAUUUUUUUAAAAAUAUUUGUUAAUAUAAACAAUGGUUCUUUAUUUCACAAGGUUGAUUGAAAAGUUUAAAAUCAAGGUAGCAGGUAUUAACUUUUAAAGAGGCUAAAUUAUUAUUUUAUUACUAUCAUAGUAUGACAUAAUGAAAGUGUCCUGAAAUUGUCUUGCCGCGACGAAAAGUGCCCUUUUGAGCAUAUGAUGUGUGUGCCCUCUCUAGAUCCUAGAUUUAACACUAUUUAUGUUAGAUUUUGAUUAAAAUAUCAAUAAUAUUGUAUUCUAUGAAUAAAAUGAUAUGGUAUAUUCUAUGAAUAAAAUGAACAAAAACUCUAUAUCAAAUCCAGCAUGAUAUAAAAAAUACAGUUGCAGAGAUAUAAAUGAAAAUAGUUUCAAAAGACAACCUGCCUUUUUACCCACUUUCAUUCUGAAAAAAGCCAAGUCUGACCAUGUGACUGUCUUAUUAGCUGACCAUGUGACUGUCUUAUUAGCAUACCACAUGCUAUUUUCCAUCACUUCUUGGAUCUGUACAUAUCUAACUUUAGUGUUUUACACAUGAUCUAGCAUAAUGAAUUUAGUGUGAUAUUCACAUACUUACUCUUAUAUCUACAGUCAAUGAACUUGAUGUUAUAACUUAUUGAUGCCAUUAGUUUUCUUUCUGACCAUGUGUGAAGAAGGCGUGCAAUGUGUACACUAUAUUAAUAAGGCUAUCCAAAAGUGUCCAAGAGUUAAACAAGUGGUACUGCUCACUAAAAGAAUACCCCCCUACCCCAAUCUCCCAAAGGGUGUUGUUAAUAGGUAUAAAUUACCUCUUUCCCCGAGUGUAAAAAAGAAAGGGUAUGACAAAACCUUGGGUAGACUCUUCUCUACGAGUGUGCUUGACCUUUUGACCCCAAAAUUGAUAGGAAACAUCUUCGUCCCAUGGGUAGUCCAGAAGUAUGAUAUGGUGACUGUAGGUGGAAAGGAUAACACUUUAGAGCCCAGAAACCAUAUUGCUACUUCGAUGUCCAGUGCACUUGACCUUUUGACCCUCAAAUUCAAUAGGGAACAUCUUCGUCCCAUGGGUAGUCCAUAUGUGUAAUAUAUGGCGACUGUAGGUGGAAAGGAUAACGCUUUAGAGCCUGGAAACCAUGUUGCUACUUCAAUGUCCAGUGUGCUCGACCUUUUGACCCCAAAUUCAAUAGGGAACAUCUUCGUUCCAUGGGUAGUCAAUAUGUAUGACAUGGUGACUGUAGGUGGAAAGGAUAACGCUUUAGAGCCCUGAAACAAUAUUGCUACUUCGAUAUCCAGUGUGCUUGACCUCUGACCUUUUAACCCCAAAAUCGAUAGGGAACGUCUUCGUCCCAUGGGUAGUCCAUAUGUAUGAUAUGGUGAAUGUAGGUGUAAAGGAUAAUGCUUCAGAGCCUUGAAACAAUAUUGCUACUUCGAUGUCCAGUGUGCUUGACCUCUGACCUUUUGACCCCAAAAUCGAUAGGGAACACCUUCAUCCCAUGGGUAGUCCAUAUGUAUGAUAUGGUGAAUGUAGGUGUAAAGGAUAAUGCUUCAGAGCCUUGAAACAAUAUUGCUACUUCGAUGUCCAGUGUGCUUGACCUCUGACCUUUUGACCCCAAAAUCGAUAGGGAACACCUUCGUCCCAUGGGUAGUCCAUAUGUAUGAUAUGGUGAAUGUAGGUGUAAAGGAUAAUGCUUUAGAGCCCGGAAACCAUUGCGUCUACAGACGAACAACCCGAUUCCAGUAACCAACCCCCCAACCCCCAAUUUGUUGUGGGGGGUAUAAUUAGUCAAGAAUGAACCAGGGAUCAUGGUGUGAUGAACUUCAAUUUACGUCAUAUGCAAAUGAUGCUUACUUAUUUGUACUAAACUGUACUCUUGCAGUUCUUGAGAAGGAUUUCUUACAUAUUCCGAUGAAAAAAGUUCAUGGUGUGAACAUGCUUAAAUCCACACUACAUAAGUACUCAAAAUUUAAAAUCCUUCCUAGUGUAUCCUUGCUGUUCUUGAGAGAAAAUUUUCAAUGAAUGUUCCUGUACAUUCAUGUUCCCAAGUAAAGCUUUGACCCCCUCUUGUGGCCCUAUCCGGUCUCUAAGGGCCACAAUGUGAACACAACAUGAGAAUCCUUGUAUGCUCAUUUUACCCUUGUCCUUCCCAAGACGAAAAUUUUCAUAAAACCCCUAUUGCAGCCAUUGGUCCCGAAGGUCAAGGUGUGAUCAAACUUCAAUGAACCCUUUAUGGGGAUCGAUGCUUGCACAUCAAUAUGACAAAUUAAAUUCCCGAGUUUUUCUGAGAUGAUUUUAAAAAUAAUUUUCCUAUAUACUCCUCUGUAAAAUUUUAAGCCCCUCCUGUCCCCCAUCUACACCCCAGGAGGAUAAACUACAUGAGAACUCCAUAUUACUUGACAUUGUAUUCUAGUGGGUUUUGAGAAAUUUUUGACAGAAUUUUCUCAUACAUCCAUAAUCCUACCUAAAAAUUUUAAUUCCACUUAAUUGUUCCGUCUUGGCACCAACGGUCAUAGUGUAAACAAAUCCGAAUCUAUACUACAGGAAGAUGCUUUCUUAUCAGUUUGACAUACUAAACCCCUGUGGUUCUAGAGAAGAUUUGAAAAGAAUUUUGAAUCCCUUUUGUGACCCCAUCCUCACCCCAGUGCUCAUGGUUUGAACAAACUUGAAUCUUUAUUACAGGUAUAUAGAUCUAUAGAAGCUUCUCAAUACAUGCACAAGUUUUGGCUGUUCUGUUCCAGUGGUUCUUCAUCAGAAGAUUUUUUAAACACUCCUCCCUAUUUCUACUAUUUCUGAAUCAGUUUUGUAGCAAGUUUGGUUGAAAUUACUUCCAUGGUUCUUGAAAAGUUGAAAAUGUGAAAAGUUAACUACAACAGAUGAUGGUCAAAGAAAUACUGCCAUUCAUAAAAUGGUUUUACUAAUUUCUGUUUUGAACAAUCCUGGCUUGUGCCUAAUAUUAAUCAUAUAUUAUAAAGUGAUAACUUCAUACAGUAUGUUUAUAAUCUAUAAAACUUUCCUCAACAGAGUUUAUCAAUGAAAGAGUAAAGUUCUUGAUCUUUAUGGGAAAAUACUGUAAUUUGACAUAUUACAAAGAAUUUGAAUAUGAGAAUAGCCCUCAAUCCAAAAACUAUAUAAUGUUUAUUAAUCAUAGAUUAUUGGCUGAAUAUUAGGCAAUAUGCCUGCCCAUGGUUGUUGUGCAGUAAAGUGGACAGAGCUUGAAUGGUCCACUUUCAUGAAACGACUGAGGGCAGGCAUAUUUCCCAAUAUUCAGUCAAUAACUUGUUUAUUAAAUAUUUUUUAAAUUGUGCACUUCUAAUUUUAGACGUGCACGUACAUUUUAAUUCUAGACAUGCACAUUCUAAUUCUAGAAGUUCACAUCAGGGUUCCAAUUACUACUCGCCCACUCACAUUGGUGACUACACUUUGCUUGUGGGCACCCCAAAUUUCCGUUCUCCUCGCCCACUUGGUGACCGUAAUUGUCGGAUCAACAUUUUUCUUUCCGACCGAUCCAAGUCGUAUUAUGAAGUUCAAUUUCUGGUUGAGAUUUUGCCACUUUGCGAGAUAUUCCUGGGGUAUCAAACCUUUCAAAACAUAAACCAGAAGUUGAACAACGCAAGGGUUACUUCAAAUGAAAAGAAAGCACCUGUUUUUACCAAAGUGGAAAGAAGGGGAGAAUAUGGUUCGAUGACGGCGAAAAGGGGAUGGCAUGUGCUGUGUGUACAAAACAUGGCACGACAGGUCCAAUCAUCAUGACACCUUGCCCGGGUUAUAAACUUGACAGCAUUCUAAAGCUGAGAACUUUUGAAAUCGCAUAAAAAGUCUGAAGAAGCGUGUGUUGAAGUCAGAGGUUCAUGAACUCUUGAUAUUUUUGCUAGGUUAACAAAAUGAGAGUGGAAAUGAGCGAGAGAGUGGUGUUUGAAACAAUUACAGAAAUGGAAACAAAAUUUAAAUAUUGAUAUUCUAAUUUUUAAAUAAAUUGCAAUGUGACCCAAUGCUUCUUUUUUCUUGUAAAAAAAACCAUGUUAUUCAUAUGUGUGGGCUACUAAUAUUUCAUGUGGACUAAAAUGAUUUCUUAUUCAGGGCCCACUUGGCCCCUAAGGUAUUUAGUCGAAGUUGGAACCCUGGCGCAUUCUAAUUCUAGAAAUACACAUUCUAAUUCUAGAAGUACACAUUUUAAUUCUAGAAGUACACAUUCUAAUUCUAGAAGUACACAUUCUAAUUCUAGAAGUGCACAUUCUAAUUCUAGAAAUACACAUUCUAAUUCUAGAAGUGCACAUUCAAUUACAUUUUUUGGGGUAGCUGAUAAAGUGUUAUGUCCAUCAUUAUUUGUACACAGACUAAUGUCACAAUCAAUGAAUUAAAAAAUAUAUAAUCUCAAGUGAAUUAAAAUAGUCCCUAGCAGUGAUUCCGAAGGUCCUUUGGACAUUGGCAAAUGUCUGGUAAUUUUUGCUUUGGUCUGAACAUUAUCAGUUAUUGACCGGACCAAGUGUCCGAUAAUUUUUUUUCUUCAAUGAAAUACAUGAUUAGAUAAAUUUUCAAUUUUUACCAGCAUGUCCCAAGAUUUAUUCUGUUCUUUAGUCAUUGCAAACAGAAAACGUGUUUACGUUUAACUCAAAUAUCUAUCAAACUUGCAAUCAUCUUCAAUUCCCCCAAGAGGGUGAUAAUACAAUUGAGCAAUAUUCCAUGAAACUACAGACGUCUUUGAAGCGUUUGAAUUAGGUAAUAAAUAACAGGUAAAUAUAGCGUUUAAACUAUACUCUGAUCAAGAAGUACUUGAGCAACAUGGGCACGUUUGAUUGAACAUUUUGAAUUUGAGUUGUAAACGCGAGUUGCUCGAGUUUAAAAAAAAACGUGUAUUUCAUAACACUAGUGUUGAACACUAGUAAGUGUGGUUGGUAAAAUUUACUCCACUGACGAAUCUGAAGUGAAAUGCUUGGGCUAAUAAAGUACAUGCCUGUUGCCGAUGCUAUUCCGAAGUCUGGGCCAGAAAGUUCAAAAUUAUAUGAAAGCUUCCUGACAUAGUGCAGAUUCAAGUUUGUUAAAAUCAUGGCCCCCGGGGGUAGGGUAUGGCGACAAUAGGGGAUCAAAGUUUUACAUGGGAAUAUAUAGGGAACAUGUUUAAAAAUCUUCUCAAGAACCACUGGGCCAGAAAGUUCAAAUUUACAUGAAAUUUUAAGCUUCCUGAUAUAAUGUAAAUUCAAGUUUGUCAAAAUCAUGGCCCCCAAGGGUAGGGUGGAGCCACAAUAGGGGAUUAAUUUGCCUAUAAAAUUUGGGUCUGGUAAAAUGUGAUUUGGUCCAGUAAUAUCUCUACCAUUACUGGACCAAAUGUCCAGUAAGUACCAGAAGACAUAGGGAAGCACUGCCCUAGGCAUUUACAGUGUGUGCUUUUAUGGCUAAGUAAGAGUAUGGGUAUUCUCUAUAGAAUCUACAGGAAAAAUAUCAAAAUAUGUACAGUGAACUUCUCUAAAACGGCCAGCUGCUGGACUGAAUGAAACAGAAGAAUUAAAGGGGUACCAUUCUGUGUUCCGUUCCCAGUCCAAAGCUUUCUGUUCUCAUCUAACACCGUUCAUUUCCUCAAAGUGUUUCUUCACACAUGGUCAUUCAGAACUCGCGUGUCAGUCCGUCAUUGUAGCUCAACAUCGCCCUACCCUAUCAAACCUAUUUAUCAGACCAAUCACGUACUCUUUGCCAAUUCCACUCCCUUAGUAAAUCCAAUUUGGACCAGUAAUCUGCUGCCAGUUUCUCUUUUCAGAUAUUACACCAAUUGGCCACAAUCAUUCAGGUCUUGGUGGAGAAGCAGAUUGUGACUCUCUAUCAUUUACUGUGCUUUCAGGACUUGCAACAUUUCAUCAGAAAAGGGGUAACUGACAGGAAUGUGCUUAAGAGUGGCAGGUUAUGCAGAUAUUACAGUCCAAGCUACUGCCUUUUCCAUCGCAUUGUUACUUAAAGGGGGAAGGUCUUGGGGUAUAAUUGAGUAAAGUGGCCGUCUGAUCUGGCCUGUUGUUCCAACCCCAUCUGUCAUACAAAGACUGAGGGCAUAAUGUGACACAUGUAUAUAGUGGUACAAAGCAAAAAGUAAAUAAGUUAAUUGGGGCUACACAGGACAUCAUUGCAGUCUUGGUACUCUCUCCACCUCUUGGUAAUAGAGGGGAGACCUCAUCCGGAGUACCAGGGGAGGUACUGCUGCACAUAACCGGGGGGGGUGGGGGGGUGGGGGGUGGGGCUAUCUUGCUGGAACAGGGUAAGCAGAUCAGGCGGUUCCUUUCGAUCCCAGAUAAGUGUCUGUCUGGGAUGCUGGCUCUUGUGCUCUCACAAGGCCACUGGUUUGCCCUCAUACUUUGAUUGACACUCUGGACACCCCUCCCGACCUGCAAUUUGAAUUUCUUCAUAACAACCUGGCCUAACGCCAAUUCACCCAAAAGUUUACAUAUAUGUAUGUCCAUCCUAGUCUACCAAGUAGUGUACUUGUGGAAUUCUCACAAUAAAUAGUAAACUUAUCAUCUGAUUUUCCCAGUAUGCCAAGUGUGUAGUUUCAGCACUGUUGUUUGGUGCCAUGCGGUUUGACUUUCUUUGUUUUAAUGUUGCAAUAUUUAUUCUACUUAGUGGAACAUAAUGGCAAAACGUCACAUUAUAAGAAAAUGAUGGAUAUGUAUAUAAAGUACGAAUUUUUCAUUUUAUGACCUUUGACCUUAAUUCUCUUCAUCAUAUUUUUUGUUCAAAACCUUUUAAAAUGAUUAAGAUCUAUUUAAAGAUUAUAUUUUUAAAAUAAUGUGACAUUUACUAAUCAUCAUGCAAUGUAAUUAUGUUUAAAUUGUGUCGAAUGGAUGCAGAAAGGCAAAUUAUGGUUAAAAUUAUACCAUGAGUGUUGUUACUUAGCAACCAAAAAUAUUUGUUUGUCAAUAAAAUUGAUUAAUUUGAUUGUGAUGUUUUUGUAGUAUUUUAAAAGGCACAUCGGCUCAUACAUUUAGAAUUUCCUAUUUUUGACUCUAAUCUAGUAAGCGGGGUCGUAAUAUAUAUAUUUCAGAGAAAAAAGAUUGCAAAAAUGUGCACUUAUAUGACCUUUGACCCCGCAGACUUCUUUGAGGUCAUGGGAUACAUUGACAAACUUUAUAAGAAAUUGUUUCCUGUCCAAUUUCUAACAAAAUUAUAUGUCAUAUGCCUACCCCAAAUCGUGGUACAUGCAGAUUUAAAUCGAUGUAAAAAUAUUGUCAUUUAGUCUUUAAAAACCUCUAAAAUGUGACGGUAGAGAAAGGGUUAAGGACAUAAAUGAACGCAACGUUUCUGCCAUUUUCUCUAAAAUUAUUUUUUCAUCUCCGCGAUAUGAGAAAUUCUUGUAUGAUUUCUGAAAGAGGUUUAAAUUUUAUAUUGUAUUGUUAUCUUCACCUUUCAUUGUAGUAAUAUUACCAUACUUUGUAUAUCAACCUAGGUAAUAUUACCAUGGGUAACUCAGUGGUUAGAUCACCUAUCUAGUAAUGUAAUGGUCCCAGGUACAAUACUGGAUUGUUCCAAAGAAUUCUCUCUCCUUCUUUGCUACAAUUAUACAACCUACUAUAAUACAUAAGAGCUGACUUUAUACAUUUUUUACUUGCAACAACUUGACAGGAGCGAUGACUCCCAGUUUGGCUUCGUCCCUGGCAGAGGUACAACUGACGCAAUAUUUGUUGUUCGGCAGCUGCAAGAAAUAUCUUGCAGUAAACAAAUGGCUCUAUAUGGCGUUCGUGGACCUCGAAAAGGCAUUUGACCGUGUCCCCUGGAAGGUGAUCUGGUGAGCACUGCGAAAACUUGGUGUGGAAGAGUGGAUUGUGCAUCUGGUGCAGGGGAUGUGUGCAAAUGCUCGUAGCUGUGUUCGUGUUGGUGAUGGCUACUGUGAGGAGUUUGUUGUUAAGGUCGAAGUCCAUCAGGGGUCAGUACUCAGCCCUCUACUUUUCAUCAUCGUACUCGAGGCUUUUUCACGCGAAUUUCGCACCGAUGUUCCCUGGGAGGAUCUGUAUGCAGAUGACCUGGUUAUCAUUACUGACUCAUUGGAUGAAUGUGUCAAGAGGCUCCUGACUUGGAAAGAAGCUAAGGAAAGGAAAGGACUGAGAGUGAAUGCGGGCAAAACCAAGAUCAUGAUCUGCGGUACAGGUCUUGACCUACUUCAGGACUCAGGCAGCUUCCCAUGUGCUGUCUGUUGUACAGGUGUAGGCAGCAAUAGUAUUUUCUGCAAUGGAUGCAAGCACUGGGUGCACAAGAAAUGCAGUUGGCUCAAGCACCUGUCUGUGGACCCUGACUUUAGAUGCUAAAGAUGCGGGGGAACGGCUCGCCCUCUUGACGGCAAGCCACAGAGUGAUAUCAAAGUUGGUCUGGACAAGUUGGAGGUUGUAGGUUCCUUCUGCUAACUCGGGAGACAUGCUUUCCACAGCUGGUGGCUGUGACCUUGCGACCACUACGUGCGUGAAGACUGCUUGGAAGAAGUUCAAGGAGCUGCUACCAGUCCAGACAUCACGCCACCUGUUGUACAAGACCCGUGGUCGAGUGUAUAACAUCUGCAUACGGAGCACUAUGCUCCAUGCCAGUCAGACCUGGGCACUGACAAAGCCAAAUCUUCAUCACCUACAGCGCAAUGACAGGGUCAUGAUAAGACAGAUCUGCAACAUCAAGCCUGAAGAUAUGGCCAAUGUAGGUUCAACUGAAUUGCUGGGGCGGCUGGCAUCGAUGACCUCGACUUCAUCUUAAGAGAAAGGAGACUCAACUGGUAUGGCCAUGUUGUCAGAUCUAGCAGUGCAGUCAAGUGCGCUCUCAACAUACAAGUUCCUGGUAGGCGUAGAGUUGUUCAGUCAAUGCUAUAAUGGAGAGAGCUGACGGAGAAAGAUCGUAAAGAAUGGAAGCUCUCUACUGCCAACCCUCAUGACCGGAAAAAAUGGAGAUCUGCCAUGCGUGCACCCAGCCAGAUACCUGGAAGGAGGCCCACUACUGUGGACAGUACCCGUAAUUCUGCAUGGAAAUAAGAAGGAACCGACAACAACAACAACCUAGAACUAUCAAAAUAUUCUAACUCUAAAACAGACAUGGUAAUAUACCCCAAGAAUUUUUUAACAAAUGAAA